Molecule: microRNA precursor, 129 nt
Filed under: Pelobates cultripes (western spadefoot toad)
Lineage: Eukaryota; Metazoa; Chordata; Amphibia; Anura; Pelobatidae
Source: RNAcentral
CACACACACACACACACAGCAGUGUGUGUAUGUGUGUAUAUAUGUGUAUGUGUGUAUAUAUAUAUAUAUAUAUAUACACACAUAUAUAUAUAUACAUACAUAUAUAUAUGCGGCGUGUGCUUGUGCUUU